Molecule: non-coding RNA, 29 nt
Filed under: Cricetulus griseus (Chinese hamster)
Lineage: Eukaryota; Metazoa; Chordata; Mammalia; Rodentia; Cricetidae
Source: RNAcentral
AGUGCGAACUCAGACUGGAAAGGCGGACG